GAUGAACGCUGGCGGCGUGCCUAACACAUGCAAGUCGAGCGAUUUACUUCGGUAAAGAGCGGCGGACGGGUGAGUAACGCGUGGGUAACCUGCCCUGUACACACGGAUAACAUACCGAAAGGUAUGCUAAUACGAGAUAAUAUGCUUUUGUCGCAUGGUAGAAGUAUCAAAGCUUUUGCGGUACAGGAUGGACCCGCGUCUGAUUAGCUAGUUGGUAAGGUAACGGCUUACCAAGGCGACGAUCAGUAGCCGACCUGAGAGGGUGAUCGGCCACAUUGGAACUGAGACACGGUCCAAACUCCUACGGGAGGCAGCAGUGGGGAAUAUUGCACAAUGAGCGAAAGCUUGACGCAGCAACGCCGCGUGAAGGAUGAAAUCCUUCGGGAUGUAAACUUCGCAAGUAUGGGAAGAAAAAAUAGACGGUACCAUAUGUAAGCCCCGGCUAACUCCGUGCCAGCAGCCGCGGUAAGGUAGAUGAGU
RNAcentral lists this ribosomal RNA (480 nucleotides) under uncultured bacterium. Its description in RNAcentral is "bacterial SSU rRNA". It matches the Rfam family "Bacterial small subunit ribosomal RNA", at positions 28 to 534 of the family's 1533-position model. The record is from RNAcentral.